GACGAACGCUGGCGGCGUGCUUAACACAUGCAAGUCGAACGGAAAGGCCCUGCUUUUGUGGGGUGCUCGAGUGGCGAACGGGUGAGUAACACGUGAGUAACCUGCCCUUGACUUUGGGAUAACUUCAGGAAACUGGGGCUAAUACCGGAUAGGAGCUCCUGCUGCAUGGUGGGGGUUGGAAAGUUUCGGCGGUUGGGGAUGGACUCGCGGCUUAUCAGCUUGUUGGUGGGGUAGUGGCUUACCAAGGCUUUGACGGGUAGCCGGCCUGAGAGGGUGACCGGCCACAUUGGGACUGAGAUACGUCCCAGACUCCUACAGGAGGCAGCAGUGCUGAAUAUUCCACAAUGGGCGGAAGCCUGAUGCAGCAACGCCGCGUGCGGGAUGACGGCCUUCGGGUUGUAAACCGCUUUCGCCUGUGACGAAGCGUGAGUGACGGUAAUGGGUAAAGAAGCACCGGCUAACUACGUG
RNAcentral lists this ribosomal RNA (468 nucleotides) under uncultured bacterium. RNAcentral describes it as "partial 16S ribosomal RNA". It matches the Rfam family "Bacterial small subunit ribosomal RNA", at positions 28 to 507 of the family's 1533-position model. The record is from RNAcentral.